CUGGUUGAUCCUGCCAGAGGUCACUGCUAUCGGGGUUCGAUUAAGCCAUGCGAGUCGAGAGGGUUCAGACCCUCGGCGGACUGCUCAGUAACACGUGGAUAACCUGCCCUAAGGUGGAGCAUAACCCCGGGAAACUGGGGAUAAUACUCCAUAGGUUAGAGAUACUGGAAUGUUCUUUAAUCGAAAGUUCCGGCGCCUUAGGAUGGAUCUGCAGCCGAUUAGGUAGUUGUUGGGGUAACGGCCCAACAAGCCUGUAAUCGGUACGGGUUGUGGGAGCAAGAGCCCGGAGAUGGAAUCUGAGACACGAUUCCAGGCCCUACGGGGCGCAGCAGGCGCGAAAACUUUACAAUGUAGGAAACUGUGAUAAGGGAACCCCGAGUGCCCGUAUACGCGGGCUGUCCGGGUGUAUAAAAAGCAUCUGAAGAAAGGGCCGGGCAAGACCGGUGCCAGCCGCCGCGGUAAUACCGGCGGUUCGAGUGGUGACCACUUUUAUUGGGCUUAAAGCGUUCGUAGCUGGACUCUUAAGUCUCUUGGGAAAUCCCGCGGCUCAACCGUGGGGCGUUUAAGAGAUACUGGGAGUCUAGGAACCGGGAGAGGUAAGAGGUACUUCGGGGGUAGAAGUGAAAUUCUGUAAUCCUCGAGGGACCACCGAUGGCGAAGGCAUCUUACCAGAACGGCUUCGACAGUGAGGAACGAAAGCUGGGGGAGCGAACGGGAUUAGAUACCCCGGUAGUCCCAGCCGUAAACGAUGCGCGUUAGGUGUACUGGUGACCACGAGUCACUGGGGUGCCGAAGGGAAACCGUGAAACGUGCCGCCUGGGAAGUACGGUCGCAAGGCUGAAACUUAAAGGAAUUGGCGGGGGAGCACCAC
RNAcentral lists this ribosomal RNA (871 nucleotides) under uncultured archaeon. RNAcentral describes it as "bacterial SSU rRNA". It matches the Rfam family "Archaeal small subunit ribosomal RNA", at positions 4 to 882 of the family's 1478-position model. The record is from RNAcentral.